This is a long non-coding RNA of Clupea harengus (Atlantic herring), 1382 nucleotides long. Lineage: Eukaryota; Metazoa; Chordata; Actinopteri; Clupeiformes; Clupeidae. The record is from Ensembl.
AGGCCCUUCAUAACUCACCUCUUUCUUUCUUCCCUUGCAUUUUGCUUUCUUUCUCUUUCUCUUUCUCUUUCUUCCCCCUUGCCCUCUCUCCUUCUCUCUCUCUCUCUCUCUCUAUGGCUGUUUUUCUGUCUUUCUCUCGCUCUUUCUCUCUUUGUUUUCCUCUCCAUUCUGUUAUUUUUUUUUCUUUUGCAUUUUAGCUUCACUAAGAUUGCCCAUGCAUGAGGCUAACACUGAUAGCAGGAGUGUGUCUGCGGCCAGCCGGCUGCAGGGGUGCAUGCAGAGGUCAGGAGGUCAGCUGGAGGUCGCACGGCCGCCGGAGCAGAGCCGACCGCACGGGCCGCACAGUGAACAGCCUGGCCCGCUCCAAGUACUGCUGACGAAAACCCCCCACCAGCUCUGGGACACCAAUCAGGACGCUGCCCUUGCCCUGCCCUCCCUUUCCCUCCCUCAGUCCCCCUCCUCCACCAAUCAAACGCCAUCUUUCUCUCAGAGCCACGCAUCAGUCACCUCCCUCGCCUCCACACAGCAGUCACCCAAUAGCCGCGCCAUGCCUGGGAGUAAUUGCGAUUGGCCAAGGUCGGCGGAGGAGGCGGGGCCGAGGGAGGACGAGCGCUGGGAGGGCGUCAGGUUGUCUGACAUCCUGCAGGCCUCAGGUGUGUCCGUCCGGCCCCUCCGCAAGCACCUGGCCAUCUCCCUGCCCUCGCUGCCCCUGGACGCCUGGAGCCUGCUGGGGAGGGUGGAGCAGCACAGCCAGGGCGUGACGGGGUCAGACGGCCUCCCUCUCCCUCUACCUCUCCAGCUCCCAGCCUCUGCCCAACCACCAGCGCUACCGCCACCGCCCGCUGCUGCUGCUGCUGCUGCUGCUGCCCACACGCCCAGCCCCGGAGACGUGGAGGAGAAGCGAGGGAGGAGAGAGGAGGUGCAGGGCAGAGAAGGGGAGAACCACCUGCGUCUCCCGCUGUGGCACCCGCUAAGCUCCGCCUCCCAGCGCUCCCCCAGCCUAUCCCGUAUCAGCCCCAGUUCCCCGACCCCAACGAGGCCCACGUGCCAUUGGUCAUCCUGGAGCCUGGACUGCCCCAAUGCUGUAGUGGCGCCAUACAAGACUCCCCCUGACAGCACCUGGGACCCCUGCUCCCCAGCCCAUGAGACCAGCCCUUCAUUAAGUUCCAGGACGCAGGGAGGCACGUCCCGUCCUGAUCCCUGGUCCAGUGCUCCUGACCAGGGGGCAGGGAUGCAUAGUGCCCCUGUCCGAAGAACUUGCUCUGGAGCUGACCUGGAGCCUGUGGAACAGGAGCUUUCUGAGCUGGACUCCCUCUACCAGGCUAGUCUGAUGGCCCAAGGCAGCCCUGCUACAGCUCCCGCUGUUGCUGGAGCCAGAGCAG